UAACCAUUUCUUUUUAUUUCGUCAAUUCAUUUCAAACAAUUCACACGUGUGGUACUGGUUUUAUAGAUCUAGUAAAGAUCGUGGAAGAUUAAGAUUUAAGAAAAAAUUUUAAUCAUUCAACAUCCACUUCUUCCUACUUAAAUGUUCAUUAUGCCGAAUCAAUAUCAAUCACUCGCUAAAAUGAUUUGCAGUUAUCACAUUCAUCUGUUUACAACGAAAACGGACCUGAAACAGCUAGAUUCGUGGACGCUGAAAUAAAGUAAAACGAAGUUGGAGCAAUCUGGAAUUUGAAUCAUUUAAUAUGAAAAUGGAAUGGUCAAAAUUAGUCCACGUAAUUCUUGAAGAAAAAACAAUUUGAAGAAAAAGAUCACUGUAUUAAUAACCUUAAAUUAAUUUUGAAGAAUGGUGGCAUGUUAACACGUCGUGUCUGCCGGCAGAAAAAAUCUAACGCCAAAAUGUUACAAUGUUCAUAAGAAUGUGAAAAAUUCCCGGAUAUUCUGGAACUCUACUGGUUUAAAUCUGGUAAUAUCUCAUUCCACGUGGCCUUAAACAAAAGCAUCAAGGGGACAAACGAGAAUGUCGUUUUAAUAAUCAUUUAAGUUAACAAAGAAGUUGUGGUCCAAGUAAUUCUUAAUGAGAAGUCGUUUAUUUGAAAAAAAAUAUCACCAAAUUUAUCACUGAAUAUAUUAUAUACAUAAAUGAUUAUGGACCGGUCACAAUAUAUCACGCUGUUCGAUGGGAAUGAUUAAUAACAAUAUCGGAGUAAUAGCGGCAUAAAUUAUCAUAAGACGGAAGACCAUAUACGUUCCUGAAUUAUUUAAUGGAGCAACAUGGCAUCAACUGUUGGAUAAUAUGUUUGGCAUCAAUAAACAUUCAAUAUCAAAUAGAAUCUCUCAUGGCACCCUAAUUGUGAAAUCGUAAUUUUUCAAAAAUUUUUUGUUUGUUUAUAAGUAUAAUGACAAAUUUUUAUUAUUUUUGGCUAUUUCUUUCAUUUAUAAGUUUUUAAAUAUGGACCAUGGAACAAGCAAAUAUUUUUGUUCUCAGACAGUGUGUUGUUGUUAUUCAUUAUGUAUUUGUAAACAAAGCUAAAUAAAUUCUAUUCAAUUGUA
This is a long non-coding RNA of Chrysoperla carnea, 1109 nucleotides long. RefSeq lists it as uncharacterized. The transcript has 9 exons. Lineage: Eukaryota; Metazoa; Arthropoda; Insecta; Neuroptera; Chrysopidae. The record is from RefSeq and is a predicted model, not a curated record.